This 612-nucleotide ribosomal RNA is filed under the name uncultured bacterium. RNAcentral's name for it is "bacterial SSU rRNA". It matches the Rfam family "Bacterial small subunit ribosomal RNA", at positions 202 to 839 of the family's 1533-position model. The record is from RNAcentral.
AAAAGGUGAGCCAGUACAGGAUGGACCCGCGUCUGAUUAGCUAGUUGGUAAGGUAACGGCUUACCAAGGCGACGAUCAGUAGCCGACCUGAGAGGGUGAUCGGCCACAUUGGAACUGAGACACGGUCCAAACUCCUACGGGAGGCAGCAGUGGGGAAUAUUGCACAAUGGGCGAAAGCCUGAUGCAGCAACGCCGCGUGAGUGAUGAAGGCCUUCGGGUCGUAAAACUCUGUCCUCAAGGAAGAUAAUGACGGUACUUGAGGAGGAAGCCCCGGCUAACUACGUGCCAGCAGCCGCGGUAAUACGUAGGGGGCUAGCGUUAUCCGGAUUUACUGGGCGUAAAGGGUGCGUAGGCGGUCUUUCAAGUCAGGAGUGAAAGGCUACGGCUCAACCGUAGUAAGCUCUUGAAACUGGGAGACUUGAGUGCAGGAGAGGAGAGUGGAAUUCCUAGUGUAGCGGUGAAAUGCGUAGAUAUUAGGAGGAACACCAGUUGCGAAGGCGGCUCUCUGGACUGUAACUGACGCUGAGGCACGAAAGCGUGGGGAGCAAACAGGAUUAGAUACCCUGGUAGUCCACGCUGUAAACGAUGAGUACUAGGUGUCGGGGGUUACCC